UACGGAGGAUGCGAGCGUUAUCCGGAUUUAUUGGGUUUAAAGGGUGCGUAGGCGGCCGAGUAAGUCAGCGGUGAAAUUUUGCAGCUCAACUGUAAAAGUGCCUUCGAAACUGGUUUCCUUGAGUGUGGAUGAAGUAGGCGGAAUUUGUGGUGUAGCGGUGAAAUGCAUAGAUAUCACGAGGAACUCCGAUUGCGCAGGCAGCUUACUAAACUACUACUGACGCUCAGGCACGAAGGCGUGGGGAUCAAACAGGAUUAGAUACCCU
Molecule: ribosomal RNA, 265 nt
Filed under: uncultured prokaryote
Description: partial 16S ribosomal RNA
Rfam family: Bacterial small subunit ribosomal RNA
Source: RNAcentral